This 1422-nucleotide long non-coding RNA is filed under the name Homo sapiens (human). Its description in RNAcentral is "long intergenic non-protein coding RNA 2362". Lineage: Eukaryota; Metazoa; Chordata; Mammalia; Primates; Hominidae. The record is from RNAcentral.
ACAAUCAUGCUUGCCAGUGUUUACAGCCAAUCAGUAGGAAGUGGCUUCUGCCUCCAUUCUGACUUCCAAAUCUCUUGCAAAUGCAUAUAAUUGGUUGAACCUAAUUCACAGUUAGAACCCCAGCUGCAAGUGAGACUGGAAAAAUGGCUCUCAGAGUUCCCGCCUCUGCAGUAGAGGAAGACACUCCAGAAGGAGUUGAGAAUGGGUGCUGAGUGCCUCUUCAGGAUGUCUGUCACACCUCAGGAAACCUGCCAGGAAUACCAAAGGGAGUGAAAAAUCCAAGGUUGGGAAGCCCUGGGACAUUGAAGUUACAACUGGACGAUAAAAACAGAGUUUUUUCCUUGUGACGUGACCACUGUGAUGUAAAGCUGUAUCUCCUUCAUUUCAUCAAGAAAUUCUUAAAAUUCUCCCCCAACGUGCUUUCAUCUUUCCCUUCAUUGCCAACUCUGAAUACUUGUCAUUGAAAUUAGGGCCCACCUGGAUAAUCCAUGAUGAUCUCAUCUCAAGAUCCUUAACUUAAUGACAUCUGCAGAGACUGGUUUAUCAAAUAAGGGACUGUGGCUAUAUCGCUGACCUCAAGAAAACCUGCGGACAAAAUCUGCUAAAGAAGUAUCAGCAUCUAUUUCAAAAGUUAGCCAUUAUUUUAAGAAGACUGUGCUGGAAGACGGGUAUUUAACACAAACAGAUGCAAAAGAUACGGGGUUUCACCGUGUUGACCAGACUGAUUUUGAACUUCUGGGCUCAAUCAGUCCACCUGCCUCGGCCUCCCAAAGUGCUGAGAUUAUAGGUGUGAGCCCCUGCGCCUGGCCAGGGAUGCCGUUCUUCACUCUCCAAUUGAGCAGCCAUUAUAUAUCAGGCACUAUAGGAGUUCCUGGAGGAUACUGGUCUGAAGUUAGCAUGAUCUUGACUCAAGAAACUUAUAGUCCUGAUAAGAACUUCCACCAGAAUUCCAGAUAAGGCAGCACAGGCCUUGCUGUUUGCCCAUGCCCAUGCGGUCAGCUCUCUUGGGUACCGUGGCAUGCAGAUGCAGACACUCACCCAAGACACCCUGUAGUGCUGAUUACUGGCUGAAGACACUGAAUAUCUGAUAUAGUUUGGAUGUUUGACCCCUCCAAAUCUCAUGUUGAAACUAGAUUCCCAGUGUUGGAGGUGGGGCCCGGUGGGAGGUGUUUGGAUUGUGGGAUUGGAUCCCUUAUGGCCAUCUUGGUGCCAUCCUUGUGGUAAUGAGCAAGUUCUUUAUCUACUAGUUCCUGAGCGAUCUGGUUGCUAAAAAGAGUCUAGCAGCAUCAUCCGCUCCCUCUCCUCCUCUCUUACCAUGUGAUAUGCACACACCGGCUACCCUUCACCUACUGCUCCAGCACCACGCUUCAUGUACAGCCUGUAGAACUCUGAGCCAAAUAAACCUCUUUUCUUUAUAAAUUA